GACACAGCAAUACUUCCAGGGAACAGGGAGACAAGACAAGGAACUAGUAGAGAGGAUCUAUCAGGUCCUCAUCAAGGAACAGCAACAAGGAAAUUCUCAGAGUUCGGCAACCCAGUUACAAUAGAGCAGCAUCUGCAACAUGUCCAGCACCAGAUGGAAAUGCAACACCACUAGCAGCCCAACUCCCCCAGUCAGCAAAACAGACCUAAAGAUCACAACUGGCAGUUUGGAGGAUGAGCAGGUGAAUGUGCUGGUGGCCCCCAUUAUAAACAGGAAGCUUACAUCCACGAAAAUUGGUAAAAGUCUGUUGAGAAAAGGAGGCCAAAUAAUGGAAAGAAACUUUAAUUCGAUGGCAGAAAAGGCGAACUUUUCCCCAGGAGAUGUAAUGCAAGUCAAUGCACCUUCAUCUGUGGGUUGCUCCAAGAUCUUCUUCAUUGAAUGCCUGCCAUGGGAUGGAGUCAUGUGCAGAAGCAUGAAGGCUCUUGGUGAUGGACUGAAGAGGUGUUUGCACCUCUGUGUACAACAGGGCUGGUGUUCAGUGGCAUUUCCUGUUAUUGGACCUGGGGUGGCUUUAAAGUUCCCACUGAGAGAAGCCAAUAAAGUGUUGACAGACAAGAUUCAUCAGUUUGGAUUAUCUGCAUCCCCCGGGUCUCUUGCCUCCAUUCAUGUCAUCAUUAAAUCCAACUACCCUGACUCUGAAGAGACACCUCAGCUUGAACAUGAACCAGGGAGGUCAAGUGAUCUUCAGAUCCUUCACUACUGACCUUGAUGAAAUUUCCAUGAUUGUGGGAGGUGGUGGUAAACUACAGCUGGUGUUUGGUGACAUUCAGCAAACAUUCAGAACGCAGGACCUGGCAGGUUUCACCUAUGAUGACGUCAACAGUCUGAAGCAGCUGAUUGAUGUCUUGGGUGUGUAUGUGGAAGAGGACCCGUCCAGCCCCGACAGCUGGAAAGUGAGCGGAUUGAGGACAGGGGUCAACCAGUUUAUCCAGAUGAUCCAUAACCCUGUUUUUUAACCCAUAAGGGUUCUCUAAGAAGACAAAACAAAAACAGCGAGGCGACAAAAACAGGGGCCAUAGCAUACUUUAAAAUUAGUCAUUUUGGUUUCAUUUUUAUUUUGUAUCUAAUCUACAAUAUGACUUACUGUGCUUCCUGUCAUGUGCUGAAUAUUGUUGUGUCUGAAAUUGCACCAGUUUAACCUGGUAAAAAAAAACAAUAAUUAAUAACAAUAUUCCUUAUAUAAACAUCACUAUUAAAAUUGUCUUCAUUGCCACAUUAUAUUAAAUUUGAUUUUGGAUCCUGCACAAGGCAAAACUCGUGAGUGCUCUAUUUUAAGCUCCCACUGAACUAUUUAUGGCCACAGGGCAGCCUUGAACUAAAAGUGAAACAAACAAGAAUAGCUUAAUGCCAAAGGACAGCUUGAAGCCCAAAGUUUGGGCUUCAAGCUGUGCAAGGACUCUGGAUGUGAUAAGACAACAUCAGUCUGAUAGCAAGUGCAUAAACUCUCUUAAGGAAGAAAAAGGUAAGGAAUGACCUUGUGGUCAGGUCUGUACAUGACAGACCGGGGGGUCCUUGAGGUUGUUCACGUUGACUCUUGCCCAGUUGAAAAAGAUCUCAGCUCAGUUGAAGUCGUUUGGGAUGACUUUCGAAUUAAACAAAAAUUUAAGUUUGCUCAAAUUGCAUUGCAUUGCAUUGCAUUGCAUUCCUACCUUCUGGUAUCAGCUUUGUCUCUGUAUAAGGGAGUGAAGCUCCCACAUGAUGUUACAGUAAGUUACCUGUGGAUUGCUACAAAUGUAAGGAAUACAAACUAAAACUUAUGACAACUAGGAAAGAACCAACAAGGAGUGUGUGUAUGAUUUUAAAUAGUGAACCUGGAGUCAAGGUGUGGAUGAAUAGUCCAUAGCAAACACGAAGCAAUAUCAUAAGAUAAGACGAGAGAACAGGUAAACAACAUCACGUGCCACCACAGGCCUGAAGGACAAAUCAUAACACAAGUCACUUGACAAGGAUCAAGUUGUCCUUUUCUCUUUCACAAAAAAUCAUUAGCAAUAGUUAAUAGUAAAAGUUUUGCAAUAUUUUUUAAUGCACUCUUUGUUUUCAAAAGAGACAAUUAUUAAGAAAACAAUUAUUUUCCAGAGUUUUAUGGUUUUGUUGUGAUCAAGGAGGUACGGUUUGUUGUUUUAUGACCAAAGGAAGCAGAGCUGUAAGGAAAUGAAGGGGCCUUACUGUAUUUAGGAAAGCUGACUUUGGUCUUUGGACCAGUGGCCUUUCCAACACUCAACAGUGAGUGAUGUUAAAGAAUGCCUCAUGUUACAAGGUAUAUAAGCACAGUGUUCAUGGUGCUACUGUAUGAUGCAAGUAGUCUUCUCCACACACCUAAUACUGUGACUCAGCUUCCAACUUAAUAUAGAAGAAAUUCUACAUUACAAUAGCCUUUUUUUAUCAUAUUGUGGUCAUCAAUAACGUCUUAAACUUUGGGUGAUAUUUUUGUAUUGUACACAUAAACAAAUGUAGUUUAUUGAAAUUAUAAUAAAUGCUGAUUCUAUACAGUAGCUGCUAUUUGU
Long non-coding RNA from Betta splendens (Siamese fighting fish), 2564 nucleotides. Ensembl lists it as uncharacterized. NCBI's taxonomy places the organism in Eukaryota, Metazoa, Chordata, Actinopteri, Anabantiformes, Osphronemidae. The record is from Ensembl.